Molecule: ribosomal RNA, 436 nt
Filed under: Wolbachia pipientis
Lineage: Bacteria; Pseudomonadati; Pseudomonadota; Alphaproteobacteria; Rickettsiales; Anaplasmataceae
Description: bacterial SSU rRNA
Rfam family: Bacterial small subunit ribosomal RNA
Source: RNAcentral
GGUAUAACUUAGUGGCAGACGGGUGAGUAAUGUAUAGGAAUCUACCUAGUAGUACGGAAUAAUUGUUGGAAACGGCAACUAAUACCGUAUACGCCCUACGGGGGAAAAAUUUAUUGCUAUUAGAUGAGCCUAUAUUAGAUUAGCUAGUUGGCGGAGUAAUAGCCUACCAAGGCAAUGAUCUAUAGCUGAUCUGAGAGGAUGAUCAGCCACACUGGAACUGAGAUACGGUCCAGACUCCUACGGGAGGCAGCAGUGGGGAAUAUUGGACAAUGGGCGAAAGCCUGAUCCAGCCAUGCCGCAUGAGUGAAGAAGGCCUUUGGGUUGUAAAGCUCUUUUAGUGAGGAAGAUAAUGACGGUACUCACAGAAGAAGUCCUGGCUAACUCCGUGCCAGCAGCCGCGGUAAUACGGAGAGGGCUAGCGUUAUUCGGAAUUAUU